AUCCAGAUGACGAGUUCCAAAUAAUACGAAACGCGGGUCGUGGAU
This 45-nucleotide non-coding RNA is filed under the name Schistosoma mansoni. Lineage: Eukaryota; Metazoa; Platyhelminthes; Trematoda; Strigeidida; Schistosomatidae. The record is from RNAcentral.